UGCCCUCCCCAGGGAGAUAAUCACUCUCCUCUCUGCUUUCACAUGUAUUAUGGCAUGUCUCUUUAUAUGUUGGUCUCUCCCAAAUGUCUUAGAAGAUUCAUGGGGCAAUCCCAAUCUGAUUGAGGAAGAAGUAUCCUAGAAACAUCUACUGAUGAACAAAAAUAUCAGGUAUUCACACACACAGAGUGCUACCUACUGAAGAGAUGCUCUCCAGUUGGAGAGAAAAGCUUAAUGGAGAAGAUGUCAUUGAGGAGAACCUGGAAGGGCAGGUAAAGAAAUAAAAGAGGACAAGAAAAGAUGUUUUCCCAUCCCUGACAUUUUCUGGUCCAGCAAGGACAAGCUGAAAAGCUGAUUAACAAGCUUCCCAGGAGACAGAUCCAACUGGCAUCUAAGGAUGAGAGGGCUUAUCUUCUGAUUUUUGGUUAAGAUGCAGACAACCAAAGAGGUUUCAGAAAAUCUGCUGAUGCCCACCCAGCAUCCGGUUAAGCAGACAAGGUAUAGUAAACAAACCAACAGGAACAGGAAGAGAGUAGCUAUCUCAGAAUAUAGAUAUAAAUCAAUAUCUUCACAAAGUCACUCUUCCUUUCAAAGGCUUCAAAACAAGAACUUCUUCUCAUCUAUUUUAUUUAUCUCAUUUGUGCCCUACUUAAUAGAUAUUGAUUUGAUACGCACGUGCCAUUUAAAUAGAAAAUAUAAAAUGAAUAUUCUAAUUGUAAUUGAAGAAUGCCAACUUAAUCCAGAAGUUCCCUGUGUAUAAAAGACCUUCCAAAAAUUGUCUGUAUCCCUUCCUUCUCUCUCACUGUCUGGGGAGAACCUGAUUCUGGGGCAGAAGCCAUGCAGCCCAAGAAGACACCUGCCGCUGAAAUGGUUCUCUGGAAUCUACCACCGGCCAGAUGUCUCAGGUCCUGAGAAAACUCAAACACCAUCUAAAAGUUUCCACUGGAUGACUGAGACCAUUAAAUUUUCUUUUGAGAAAUAUGUAAACAUAGAUAGUUUAUCUGUUGCACUUCCUUUGCCUGCAAGUGACAGGAGCUCCCAACUCAAAUGCCUUAAAAAACAAAGACAUUUUUGUCCCAGAAAAUAAGAAGUCUGAAAAUAGGAGGAUUCAGGUAUAAUUUCCUAAGUCUUUAACUUUCUUUCUGACUCUUGGCUCUGCCCUUCUAUAUACAGUGGC
Neofelis nebulosa (Clouded leopard) is the source of this 1174-nucleotide long non-coding RNA. RefSeq lists it as uncharacterized. NCBI's taxonomy places the organism in Eukaryota, Metazoa, Chordata, Mammalia, Carnivora, Felidae. The record is from RefSeq and is a predicted model, not a curated record. The transcript is spliced from 7 exons.